UUCCAGGGCAGCCUUAUUCAUGCAGUCGACGAGCUUCCGUUGAAUGACGUGCUUGCACUGAUUUCAACAAUGAAGCGAGUGGCGAACUGGUGAGUAACACGUGGGAAAUCUGCCCAGAAGCAGGGGAUAACACUUGGAAACAGGUGCUAAUACCGUAUAACAACAAAAUCCGCAUGGAUUUUGUUUGAAAGGUGGCUUCGGCUAUCACUUCUGGAUGAUCCCGCGGCGUAUUAGUUAGUUGGUGAGGUAAAGGCCCACCAAGACGAUGAUACGUAGCCGACCUGAGAGGGUAAUCGGCCACAUUGGGACUGAGACACGGCCCAAACUCCUACGGGAGGCAGCAGUAGGGAAUCUUCCACAAUGGACGAAAGUCUGAUGGAGCAAUGCCGCGUGAGUGAAGAAGGGUUUCGGCUCGUAAAACUCUGUUGUUAAAGAAGAACACCUUUGAGAGUAACUGUUCAAGGGUUGACGGUAUUUAACCAGAAAGCCACGGCUAACUACGUGCCAGCAGCCGCGGUAAUACGUAGGUGGCAAGCGUUGUCCGGAUUUAUUGGGCGUAAAGCGAGCGCAGGCGGUUUUUUAAGUCUGAUGUGAAAGCCUUCGGCUUAACCGGAGAAGUGCAUCGGAAACUGGGAGACUUGAGUGCAGAAGAGGACAGUGGAACUCCAUGUGUAGCGGUGGAAUGCGUAGAUAUAUGGAAGAACACCAGUGGCGAAGGCGGCUGUCUAGUCUGUAACUGACGCUGAGGCUCGAAAGCAUGGGUAGCGAACAGGAUUAGAUACCCUGGUAGUCCAUGCCGUAAACGAUGAGUGCUAAGUGUUGGAGGGUUUCCGCCCUUCAGUGCUGCAGCUAACGCAUUAAGCACUCCGCCUGGGGAGUACGACCGCAAGGUUGAAACUCAAAGGAAUUGACGGGGGCCCGCACAAG
This 927-nucleotide ribosomal RNA is filed under the name Levilactobacillus brevis. RNAcentral's name for it is "bacterial SSU rRNA". It matches the Rfam family "Bacterial small subunit ribosomal RNA", at positions 37 to 929 of the family's 1533-position model. Lineage: Bacteria; Bacillati; Bacillota; Bacilli; Lactobacillales; Lactobacillaceae. The record is from RNAcentral.